GUCGUAACAAGGUUUCCGUAGGUGAACCUGCGGAAGGAUCAUUACCACACCUAAAAAACUUUCCACGUGAACCGUAUCAACCACCUAGUUGGGGUUCUCGGUAGCUGUGUGGCAUGUGGACUCGUUCUACGUGCUGCUGGCGGCUGAGACCUAUCAUGGCGAGCGUUUGGGCUUUCGGGCCUGGAUUAGUAGCCCUCUUUUAAACUCAUUCUGUAAAACUGAUUAUACUGUGGGGACGAAAGUCUCUGCUUUUAACUAGAUAGCAACUUUCAGCAGUGGAUGUCUAGGCUCGCACAUCGAUGAAGAACGCUGCGAACUGCGAUACGUAAUGCGAAUUGCAGGAUUCAGUGAGUCAUCGAAAUUUUGAACGCAUAUUGCACUUCCGGGUUAGUCCUGGGAGUAUGCCUGUAUCAGUGUCCGUACAUCAAACUUGGCUUUCUUCCUUCCGUGUAGUCGGUGGAUGGAGACGCCAGAUGUGAAGUGUCUUGCGGCUGUCCGUUUUUCGGUCGACUGCGAGUCCUUUUAAAUGUACUGAACUGUAUUCUCUUUGCUCGAAAAGCGUGACGUUGCUGGUUGUGGAGGCUGCCCGUGUGGCCAGUCGGCGACCGGUUUGUCUGCUGCGGUGUUAAUGGAGGAGUGUUCGAUUCGCGGUAUGGUUGGCUUCGGCUGAACAAACGCUUAUUGGGUGCUUUUGCUGCUGUGGCGUGAUGGACUGGUGAACCGUAGCUGUGUGAGCUUGGCUUUUGAACUAGUGGUGUAAUGCGAAGUAGAGUGGCGUCGUGCGUCUUUAUGGCGUGUGUUCGUCGAGGGUCGAUCCAUUUUGGGAAAUGUUGUGUGUGCUUCGGCGCGCAUCUCAAUUGGACCUGAUAUCAGGCAAGAUUACCCGCUGAACUUAAGCAUAUCAAUAAGCGGA
This 913-nucleotide ribosomal RNA is filed under the name Phytophthora stricta. RNAcentral's name for it is "eukaryotic LSU rRNA". The stretch from base 265 to 419 matches the Rfam family "5.8S ribosomal RNA". Lineage: Eukaryota; Oomycota; Peronosporomycetes; Peronosporales; Peronosporaceae. The record is from RNAcentral.